This 422-nucleotide ribosomal RNA is filed under the name uncultured bacterium. RNAcentral describes it as "bacterial SSU rRNA". It matches the Rfam family "Bacterial small subunit ribosomal RNA", at positions 355 to 774 of the family's 1533-position model. The record is from RNAcentral.
UGAGGAAUAUUGGGCAAUGGGCGCAAGCCUGAUCCAGCCAUGCCGCGUGCAGGAAGAAGCAUCUAUGGUGUGUAAACUGCUUUUGUACGGGAAGAAACACUCCUUCGUGAAGGAGCUUGACGGUACCGUAAGAAUAAGGAUCGGCUAACUCCGUGCCAGCAGCCGCGGUAAUACGGAGGAUCCAAGCGUUAUCCGGAAUCAUUGGGUUUAAAGGGUCCGUAGGCGGUUUAGUAAGUCAGUGGUGAAAGCCCAUCGCUCAACGAUGGAACGGCCAUUGAUACUGCUAGACUUGAAUUAUUAGGAAGUAGCUAGAAUAUGUAGUGUAGCGGUGAAAUGCUUAGAUAUUGCAUAGAAUACCAAUUGCGAAAGCAGGUUACUACUGAUGGAUUGACGCUGAUGGACGAAAGCGUGAGGAGCGAAAA